This 75-nucleotide transfer RNA is filed under the name Candidatus Margulisiibacteriota bacterium. Its description in RNAcentral is "tRNA-Val". It matches the Rfam family "tRNA". Rfam says of the family: Transfer RNA (tRNA) molecules are approximately 80 nucleotides in length. Their secondary structure includes four short double-helical elements and three loops (D, anti-codon, and T loops). The record is from RNAcentral. Lineage: Bacteria; Bacillati; Candidatus Margulisiibacteriota.
GGGCGUUUAGCUCAGCGGGAGAGCGCCUGCCUUACAAGCAGGAUGUCAAUGGUUCAAUCCCAUUAACGCCCACCA